UUGAACGCUGGCGGCAGGCCUAACACAUGCAAGUCGAACGGUAACAGGAAGAAGCUUGCUUCUUUGCUGACGAGUGGCGGACGGGUGAGUAAUGUCUGGGAAACUGCCUGAUGGAGGGGGAUAACUACUGGAAACGGUAGCUAAUACCGCAUAACGUCGCAAGACCAAAGAGGGGGACCUUCGGGCCUCUUGCCAUCGGAUGUGCCCAGAUGGGAUUAGCUAGUAGGUGGGGUAACGGCUCACCUAGGCGACGAUCCCUAGCUGGUCUGAGAGGAUGACCAGCCACACUGGAACUGAGACACGGUCCAGACUCCUACGGGAGGCAGCAGUGGGGAAUAUUGCACAAUGGGCGCAAGCCUGAUGCAGCCAUGCCGCGUGUAUGAAGAAGGCCUUCGGGUUGUAAAGUACUUUCAGCGGGGAGGAAGGGAGUAAAGUUAAUACCUUUGCUCAUUGACGUUACCCGCAAAAGAAGCACCGGCUAACUCCGUG
This 489-nucleotide ribosomal RNA is filed under the name uncultured bacterium. Its description in RNAcentral is "partial 16S ribosomal RNA". It matches the Rfam family "Bacterial small subunit ribosomal RNA", at positions 30 to 507 of the family's 1533-position model. The record is from RNAcentral.